This 301-nucleotide ribosomal RNA is filed under the name uncultured Bacillus sp. RNAcentral describes it as "bacterial SSU rRNA". It matches the Rfam family "Bacterial small subunit ribosomal RNA", at positions 500 to 795 of the family's 1533-position model. The record is from RNAcentral. Lineage: Bacteria; Bacillati; Bacillota; Bacilli; Caryophanales; Bacillaceae.
UGUUCGUGAGUCCAUCACUUCCGUGGUACGACGAGGUGUGCUACCGUUAUGUGGACUGAUCGGGCCUAACUCGCACGCAAGCGGCUACGCAAGUCAGAUGUGAAAACCCUGGGCUUAACCAAGGAAGUCGAGUCGAAACUGCAUGGCUUACGUUCGAAAGAGGAUCGUGGAAUUCCCGGUGUAGAGGUGAAAUUCGUAGAGAUCGGGAGGAACACCAGUGGCGAAGGCGGCGAUCUGGGUCGAUACUGACGCUGAUGUGCGAAAGCGUGGGGAGCAAACAGGAUUAGAUACCCUAGUAGUC